GAAAGUGAGAAACCCUCUUCUCAUAAAUGGUGCAGUGCCACUCAUUUCUGUUGCAGGCUUUAGCCUGAAACAAAACAAGAGGGACCCAUCACCCUUACUAGUUACUACCUCUUUCUCUCUCUCUCUCCAAUCCUGCAAUCAUCACACAAAAAAUCAAUCUUGAUCAAGAUUAUUAGGGAUGUAGGAUGAUGAUGAUGAGCAUAAACUAGGUGAUCAAGAUUCAAGAAACAGGAAAAGGGGGUUGCUUUUUUAACCAUUUUUAGGGGAAUGUGAGAAUGGAGGGUAAGAAAGUUGGUUGCUUUUUUGUUUGAGUGAAGAGUUAAAAGGGUUGAAGGAAGUUACAAUGGCUACUAUUUGGUUGCAAGAGUGUGAAGUGAUGAUGUAAGCUAAAAUGGAGUGUUUUGUGGUGAUGAAGAUGAAAUCUUGCAGGGAGAUCUAUUUAUUAUAAAUGCUUUUCUUUCAUCCAGCCCACCACCCUGUACGGUUUCUCUAUUCCCACACACUUAUAUUGUUACUUGUUUGGUUCAGGCAUAAAAUAUUAGUUAUGAUGUUAAAACUAUUUAUUUGAUUUAUGUUUAAUUUGGUUAGGGAAAAUUAAUUUUCCUUUACUC
Molecule: long non-coding RNA, 611 nt
Filed under: Helianthus annuus (common sunflower)
Lineage: Eukaryota; Viridiplantae; Streptophyta; Magnoliopsida; Asterales; Asteraceae
Description: hypothetical non coding rna
Source: RNAcentral